RNAcentral lists this ribosomal RNA (301 nucleotides) under uncultured bacterium. Its description in RNAcentral is "partial 16S ribosomal RNA". It matches the Rfam family "Bacterial small subunit ribosomal RNA", at positions 509 to 809 of the family's 1533-position model. The record is from RNAcentral.
CAGUCGCCGCGGGAAUACGAAGGGUGCAAGCGUUAAUCGGAAUUACUGGGCGUAAAGCGUGCGUAGGCGGUGAGUUAAGUCUGCCGUGAAAUCCCCGGGCUCAACCUGGGAAUGGCAAUGGAUACUGGCAAGCUAGAGUGUGUCAGAGGAUGGUGGAAUUCCCGGUGUAGCGGUGAAAUGCGUAGAGAUCGGGAGGAACAUCAGUGGCGAAGGCGGCCAUCCGGGACAACACUGACGCUGAGGCACGAAAGCGUGGGGAGCAAACAGGAUUAGAUACCCGAGUAGUCCCUGUCUCUUAUAU